Molecule: non-coding RNA, 407 nt
Organism: Carica papaya (papaya)
Lineage: Eukaryota; Viridiplantae; Streptophyta; Magnoliopsida; Brassicales; Caricaceae
Source: RefSeq, a predicted model, not a curated record
UCCGCCCAAAGAAGACCAGAGCUAUUUCGUAGACGCCUCACCAAACAUCAGGCAUCCUUGAAGACAGAACGCGAGAAGAAGAAGGAGAUGUAUUUUCCGGUGAGGAAGUAUGCUCUCAAAGUUUAGUCGAUUCCGACUUGAAAAAAGAGGAGACUUUUGUAUUGUUAUUUUCAUUCUUUCUUUUCCGCCGGGAUCAGUCUUAGAAUCUAUCGGACUUACUUGCAUUAGUGUUUUUGUUGGUACUCCAGCUUUUUAUCUACGUUUCCAUAUUAAGAUUACAUGUUUGGAGAGGGGGAAGAUGCUAGGAAAAGAGAAGUAACAAAGAUCUAUUGUAUUUUCUUUACCAGAGUGAUGUUAUAAUCAGAUUUGGAUCAAAAUUUAAAUGUCCAAAACAAUUUUUGUUUCAA